This 273-nucleotide ribosomal RNA is filed under the name Escherichia coli. RNAcentral describes it as "partial 23S ribosomal RNA". It matches the Rfam family "Bacterial large subunit ribosomal RNA", at positions 208 to 474 of the family's 2925-position model. Lineage: Bacteria; Pseudomonadati; Pseudomonadota; Gammaproteobacteria; Enterobacterales; Enterobacteriaceae. The record is from RNAcentral.
ACCUGGAGGAAGAGAAAGCAAAUGCGAUUUCCUGAGUAGCGGCGAGCGAAACGGAACAUAGCCCAAACCAAGAGGCUUGCCUCUUGGGGUUGUAGGACAUUCUAUACGGAGUUACAAAGGAACGAGGUAGACGAAGCAGUCUGGAAAGGCUCGUCAUAGAAGGUAACAACCCUGUAGUUGAAACUUCGUUCCCUCUUGAAUGAAUCCUGAGUACGGCGGAACACGUGAAAUUCCGUCGGAAUCUGGGAGGACCAUCUCCCAAGGCUAAAUACU